AAAUACCUGGGUGACUAAUGACUUUGCACAGCUCAGCUGGCUUUUCUGAACAUUUCAUGGGACGUCUCUCCAGGGGAAACAACCUGAAAAUGUUUCAGGACUCCGGGUGGCAUUGAAGGGCCAGAGAGGGGUGUUUAGUGCACGCUGUUGGCUGGCUGGUUUUGUGGGUUUUGUUCACCGUCUACCGGGCAGAGAGCCUUUCUGCCGAUGUCGCCAGAUGCCUCUCUCCAAGCGAAAUGACCCAUUUGCAUGCGUGGUGCAGACAUUUUCCGGAGCUCCAGGGCUCCCAGGCCUCCCCAGGCCUCCGAUUGUAAAGGAUCGUAGGGCCACCCCUUUCCUUGUUCACAUGGACAGCGCCUAAGAGGAUUUAGAAUCAAGUGGGCACAUUUGCACUGCCUUGUUCUGAAGAGGCAGCUGGAGCGCGGACUGGCCUGGCGCAACCCACCGCGGGUCCCGGGGGACCGCAUUGUCUCGGAGGGGCCGCCACAGGGGCUCCAUUGUGAGCGGGGCCGGCCUUUUUCUCCUGCCCUCUGUCUCCCCGGGCCUCCCCUCAUCCCCCCCACCCCCCCUCCACGCAGACUUUUCUCUCAAGCUGCCGGCACCCCCGGCUGCCGCAUUUCCAAUGCAGGGGAGCGGCGAGGCUCCGGGCUGGCCAUCUGCACGCGGAGAUUGACAGCAGUCCCGGAAGGGGUCAUUACUUAGGGAUCAGCAAUUUGCUAAAGAUGAACAGAUUCUAAGAAGAUGGUUUUCCAGCAGCAACCAAUUUUAAAUCUGGACUGUGCACCAGGCACCUCUUGGAUGGACAGCCCUGAAACAUCUUUCAUGCAACUCCUCAGGCAGCCCAGAAACAGCCAGGAACCAUUCGCCAGGAGCUGUGGCCAACUUAAUAACUCAUCCUUGUAUUGGUUUCCAUCCUCUGUCCUUCAUCCGUCUUGUCUUUUACUCCUACUUGCUGGAUCACACAUCCCAAUAAAUUUUUGCACUCAAGCGUUUGUCUCAGGAUCUGCUGUCCGGAGGACCAAGACUAAGUUCAAGUCAUAUUUUUUUUUUUUUGAGAUGGAAUCUCACUCUGUUGCCCAGGCUGGAGUGCAGCGGCAUGAUUUUGAUUCACUGCAACGUCCACCUCCCGGGUUCAAGUGAUUGUCCUGCCUCAGCCUCAUGAGUAGCUGGGAUUACAGGUGCACGCCACCACACCUGGCUAAUUUUUGUAUUUUUAGUAGAGACAGGGUUUCACCAUGU
RNAcentral lists this long non-coding RNA (1239 nucleotides) under Homo sapiens (human). RNAcentral's name for it is "HSALNT0160868". The record is from RNAcentral. Lineage: Eukaryota; Metazoa; Chordata; Mammalia; Primates; Hominidae.